RNAcentral lists this ribosomal RNA (694 nucleotides) under uncultured bacterium. Its description in RNAcentral is "bacterial SSU rRNA". It matches the Rfam family "Bacterial small subunit ribosomal RNA", at positions 32 to 715 of the family's 1533-position model. The record is from RNAcentral.
AACGCUAGCUACAGGCUUAACACAUGCAAGUCGAGGGGUAACAAGAGGAAAGCUUGCUUUUCUUGUUGACGACCGGCGCACGGGUGAGUAACGCGUAUCCAACCUGCCUAUAACUAGGGAAUAACCUUGCGAAAGUAAGACUAAUACCCUAUGAUUUCCUUUAAUGGCAUCAGAUUAGGAAUAAAGAUUUAUCGGUUAUAGAUGGGGAUGCGUCUGAUUAGCUUGUUGGCGGGGUAACGGCCCACCAAGGCAACGAUCAGUAGGGGUUCUGAGAGGAAGGUCCACCACAUUGGAACUGAGACACGGUCCAAACUCCUACGGGAGGCAGCAGUGAGGAAUAUUGGUCAAUGGGCGGAAGCCUGAACCAGCCAAGUAGCGUGCAGGAUGACGGCCCUAUGGGUUGUAAACUGCUUUUAUACAGGAAUAAAGUUAGCCACGUGUGGUUAUUUGUAGGUACUGUAUGAAUAAGGACCGGCUAAUUCCGUGCCAGCAGCCGCGGUAAUACGGAAGGUCCAGGCGUUAUCCGGAUUUAUUGGGUUUAAAGGGAGCGUAGGCCGUCUGUUAAGCGUGUUGUGAAAUGUAGAUGCUCAACAUCUGAAUUGCAGCGCGAACUGGCAGACUUGAGUGUGCGCAACGUAGGCGGAAUUCGUGGUGUAGCGGUGAAAUGCUUAGAUAUCACGAAGAACUCCGAUUG